This is an RNA transcript of Otolemur garnettii (small-eared galago), 437 nucleotides long. It is a transcript of the gene named keratinocyte-associated protein 2-like, with no coding region annotated. The transcript has a single exon. NCBI's taxonomy places the organism in Eukaryota, Metazoa, Chordata, Mammalia, Primates, Galagidae. The record is from RefSeq and is a predicted model, not a curated record.
AUGGUAGUGGGCACCAGCAUGUCACUGGCGCUGUCUUCUCUCCUAUCCGUGCUGCUCUUCGCCGGGAUGCAGAUGUACAGCCGCCAGCUGGCCUCCACCGUGUGGCUGAUCAUCCUGGGGGGCUGCUUGGCUUUGGCCUCUUCGUCUUCUCUCUUACUGCCUUCAAUAAUCUGGAGAAUCUUGUCUUUGGCAAAGGAUUCCAAGCAAAGAUUUUCCCUGAGAUUCUCCUCUGUCUCCUUUUGGCUCUUUUUGCAUCUGGCCUCAUCCACCGAGUCUGUGCACUACCUGCUUCAUCUUCUCCGUGGUUGGUCUGUACUACAUCAACAAGAUCUCUUCCACUCUGUACCAGGCAACAGCUCCAGUCCUCACACCAGCCAAGGUCACGGGCAAGGGCAAGAAGAGAAACUAACCUUGAAUGUUCAAUAAAGUUGAUUAUU